UUUUUGUCGGGUAAACUAGGAAGAGACAUAGUUCCAAAACUGGAAUACAACAUCAAUCUUAAUAUUAUGGAGGCAAAGGUCAAUGUAAGUGUAUCACUUCCUAAUUCCUACCCAAGUACACCAGCUCAAAUAUCGGUGCACAGUGGGCACCUAGGAAGAACUAAUCACAAUGGGAUCAAUUUGGAACUCUGAAGUUUUUAACAUACAUUGGAGCCAGGAUCAAUCUAUAUUGGUUCAGUAGUAGAAUGGGUAAAGGAUAAUCUUCCUGCUUACUUGACCUUCCUAGAGGGAGAUAUUCUAGCCCCUAUGUCCAAAACUGAAGACAAGAAAACUUUCAGAAUGUGGAUUCAUUCUCACCACAUUUACAGCAAGUCAAAAAUGAAGAAUAUUGAAGACUGGGCUAAAUAAUUAAAUAUCACUGGUUUCUUUUUACCUGGGAAACCUGGCUUAAUGUGUGUGGAAGGAUUGGAAACAAAUUGCAACAUAUGGUGGCAAAGGAUUCGUGCACUAAACUAGCAGAAGAUUUCCUGUAUAUUAGAAGAACAUGACAAAGUCCAGAAAUUUCAAAAUUUCUCCAAUAUUGCAGAUAUCAAAGCCUCAUCAGAUUCCUCAGGCAUGAAAGCAUUCUUAAACUAUUUAGAGGAACAUCAUAGCUCACAUGUUUUCAAAGAAUACUUUGGUUUUGAUGGGAAAUAAACAGCAGCUUGUACAGA
Daphnia pulex (common water flea) is the source of this 713-nucleotide long non-coding RNA. RefSeq lists it as uncharacterized. The transcript has 3 exons. The record is from RefSeq and is a predicted model, not a curated record. NCBI's taxonomy places the organism in Eukaryota, Metazoa, Arthropoda, Branchiopoda, Diplostraca, Daphniidae.